This is a long non-coding RNA of Carya illinoinensis, 2166 nucleotides long. RefSeq lists it as uncharacterized. NCBI's taxonomy places the organism in Eukaryota, Viridiplantae, Streptophyta, Magnoliopsida, Fagales, Juglandaceae. The transcript is spliced from 2 exons. The record is from RefSeq and is a predicted model, not a curated record.
UCUGUAUGUGAUCCAGUGAGCAUAUAGUUCAUUGCAUAUCUAGUACUGUAUUAUCUGUUUGUCCCAUAUGAGCUUUUCAUUUCCCUCCCAUUCCCUAGUACCAAUUACCAGUAAUAACAUGUUGAGAGAGAGAGAGAGAGAGGGAGAGAGAGAGUGUGUCUUAAUUUCAAGUUUCCUUUUUGGAUUAUCUUGGAAACAACUGUGCCGAAGUUCCGUUUCUUUGAAGUCUCCUUCAUAAAAGAAUCAGCCUUUCAAUUGUAUAUGCCAUACACCAACCAGUACAAUUCCUCUUAUAUGAAGGCCAGGUUAUAUAUGUGCGUGUGUGUGUGUGUGUGUAGGAUUUGAGAAGUUGGAGUAGAACAAUAGAAGGCAUAACUGGGGUUCUAGUUGCGAGAGACCAGACCUCGGCAACAAUAGACAUAUAAUUUGAAGCAUGAAAGGCAAGAGAAAAGGUGUACAGGAACUUCUGUCGAAGGAGAGAUGGCGCCUUAUGCAGCGGCAGAAGCCAUUUUGAACAGGAGGCUCCAUCUCCCCUCGACUGAAGCUCCUAAUUAAGUUUCUUCCUCGUGCACUUGAUUAUGAAUCCAUGCAGCUUCUAUUAAGAGGUACGCAGUUCCAUAUUGCAUUAAUUGAUUUUCAAAUGAUCUUUUUCUAGCUUCUAUUGAUCUGAAAAGCGUGUAUGUGUGUGUAUCCUUUUUUUUUUUUUGGGUCAUUGAUUCCCAUGGCAUGCUAGAAAAGUAUAAACCGAUCUGGGAAUCAGGGAAAUUGCAAUCUCAGCAUUUCCAAGAGUUACACGAGGUCUACACAUACCAGACAGGGAAUAGCUAGCUAGCAGGUUAAGUUCUAUGGUAUAUGAUCAUGUUCUUGUUGGUACUAUAUAUUAUUUAACCUUUUCAUCAAUCACCAUUAGCUAUCAUAUAUAUCCUUGUCAAUACCGUGGAUACAGCUAUAUAUAAGUACUGACCAUCAAGCAUGCAUGAAAGGUGAUGAGAUCAAGCAGGAAUUUCAUAUAAGAAGACAAAAUGAGGGUAUGCCAGCAUGAAAGGUACCUCCUCUUUUUCUUUCAGACACGGAAUCUUUGGUCAUCUCAUCUUCUGAUCGUACAAGACCUUAAUUAAAGCCCAGGGUCGAUAUGUACCCUCAAAAUUAGGUUCAUCAAUCUCCAAGACUUUUGAGUACAAAGAUAAAUUUGGGGACCCUAAAUUAGCACUAUGAUAACAAGGUUUGCAUAGGUAAGCACCAAAAUAGCUCAUUUCCCCCUAUAUUUUUCACCAUGAGAAGUUGAAAAUUGGAAGUGAAGGGAAUGGCAAAGCUCAAGGAAGUUGGGCAAAAUUGUGUUCCUCAGUUCUUUCAAGAACCUAAUUCAAUUAAAAAGCCAAUUAACCACAUUAAACAUGCGUGUGGGGAUGGACUCUUUAAUUAAAGAAAUUUAAUUCUGUAGUUAUUUUGUAGACAGCUAGGCCUCCAAAUUAAAUGAGCUUUAAGUCACUUCCAGGCCGGAUUCGAUACCCAAUAAUUUGUGUAGAGAUAUAUAGAGAUCAGACCCAUCUUUUUCUCUCUAUAUAAAAGGUGUACAACGCAAAGAAACCGAGCAGCGGGACUGGAAGAAACAAAUUAAAGUCGCAAGGUUUGGGGGUUUCUUGUCGCGAGAGCGAUGGCACUGGCUAUGGUAUUGCAAGGUACAUGAUGCAUGCAGCAAGUGCCAUUGUUCUGGGACAAGACACCCCUUCAAGUACUUCUUCUGCCUCCAGCUUUCUUUCUUUCUUUUCUUUCUUUUUUUAUUUCAAUUAAUGAUCUAUAUAUAAUCAAGGGUACGAAACUCCAAGAAUUUUUUUCAUCUUGAAAAUGUAUUCUCUUUGUUUCUUGUUCCUGUUCUUCUGCUUCUUCUUUCAGGUGCGCCAUUUUCUCUUUCCUUGCCAUUUUGAUCAUACCAAGUGCCUUUGUGCAGGUAUAUAUGCAGACUGCAGUCCGUGCUCUGCUAUGUGGGGUAGAUGUUCUUCUGCUUUUUUGGAAUGUGUGGUGUUGUAAUAUUGUUUGGUGCUUCUCCAAAAUUGAAUAUUUGGAAUUGGUAAAUUGUAUUAUACUGUAUCUGGGUGCAUGCAGUUCAUGUAGUACUGUGGGUGGGAUGAAACAAUGAUCAUUAUGGUUUAAUUCCUAGUUUCUGCA